RNAcentral lists this long non-coding RNA (1073 nucleotides) under Salvia miltiorrhiza (redroot sage). RNAcentral describes it as "long non-coding RNA (SMIL_LNC003243)". The record is from RNAcentral. Lineage: Eukaryota; Viridiplantae; Streptophyta; Magnoliopsida; Lamiales; Lamiaceae.
GCAAAAUGUAUACUUUCAACUUUUUUGUUUAAUUAAGAAUUGAGGUAAUUGAUUGAUUAAAUGAUGGGCUUGAUCAAAAGAAUGAAAAAGAAAGAGAUGAUGAACUCUCUUUUUAGUUGGGCCAAUGGAAUUUAGGAUUUUAAAAACUGAAUUUCUCUUUUAUUUUGGAUUAAAAUUUUUAAUUGGGGGUGCAAAAACUAAAUCUAAAAUAAUUUAUAUAUGAAUAUUAAUACUACUAAAUUUUUUUUUUUUGGGGAUGCAGCUGCACCCCCAUGUUCCAUGCUACAUCCACCAGUGAAAACAUGGAUAUCCUUACCUUGACAGAUCACCUUCAAGCUUCUCUGCCCGACUAAUUAAGCGAGAAAUCGAACGAAAUGGUUCUCUUCGAAGUGUUUAACUUGUCGGGUGACCUGGACAUAUUAUAACCAGAAAAGUAUUCAGAUAGCAAGCUUAUUAACAGACGAAGCGAGAAUCAAAACUAACCUCAACCGGCCUUCGAAGAGGGGAGGCGGCGACCGGAAAAAAGACUAAGAGCAACGGUGAAGCGCGGCGGACCGGAGGCUCACAGCGGCGGCGAGGUUGUAUGCGAUGGUGCGGAAGGAUGGCUUUGAGGUUAGUUGUGAGGAGAUAAUUGAUUGAGUUGGAGAAGAAUUAGAACUUUAAUUAAUUUUUAUUUAUAUUUAGAGUUUAGUUUAGUUAGUACAUAAGAUAAAGAUUUUGAUAUAUAUAAAUAUAUACCGAAUUAGAGUGAACUUCUUCCAUAGAUAAUUAUAUUAUAUCUCUUAAUUAAGAUAAUUAUAUUAUAUCCCUUAAUUCACUCAAUGUCAUUCUCUUUAAAAAAUAAAAAUAAAAAGAAAGAAGUCAAUGGAUUGAAAAAUCGUGAGGGUGAUAAGAUAAUUAUAUUAUAUCCCUUAAUUCACUCAAUGUCAUUCUCUUUAAAAAGGAAAAAAAGAAAGAAGUCAAAAUUAAUUGAAAAAUCGUGAAGUUGAUAAUUAUUAAUCUAUAUACUAACAAAUUUAUAUUUUAGGGGUAAAAUAGGCAAUCCACAAGUUGUCCCUUAAAUUGUCAUUCGC